This 255-nucleotide ribosomal RNA is filed under the name uncultured organism. RNAcentral describes it as "partial 16S ribosomal RNA". It matches the Rfam family "Bacterial small subunit ribosomal RNA", at positions 524 to 776 of the family's 1533-position model. The record is from RNAcentral.
UACGUAGGGUGCAAGCAUUAUCCGGAGUGACUGGGCGUAAAGAGUUGCGUAGGCGGUUUAAUAAGUGAAUAGUGAAACCUGGUGGCUCAACCAUACAGACUAUUAUUCAAACUGUUAAACUCGAGAAUGGUAGAGGUAACUGGAAUUUCUAGUGUAGGAGUGAAAUCCGUAGAUAUUAGAAGGAACACCGAUGGCGUAGGCAGGUUACUGGGCCAUUUCUGACGCUAAGGCACGAAAGCGUGGGGAGCGAACCGG